Molecule: ribosomal RNA, 484 nt
Filed under: uncultured bacterium
Lineage: Bacteria
Description: partial 16S ribosomal RNA
Rfam family: Bacterial small subunit ribosomal RNA
Source: RNAcentral
AGUGAACGCUGGCGGUGUGCUUAACACAUGCAAGUCGAACGAGAACGGAUUAUAGCUUGCUAUAAUUGUCAGCUAAGUGGCGCACGGGUGAGUAAUGUAUAGGUAAUAUGCCUCUUACUAAGGGAUAACAAAUGGAAACGUUUGCUAAUACCUUAUACUCCUUAUUAACAUAAGUUAAUAAGGGAAAGAUUUAUUGGUAAGAGAUUAGCCUGUAUUGUAUCAGUUAGUUGGUGGGGUAAUGGCUUACCAAGACUAUGACACAUAACUGGUUUGAGAGGAUGAUCAGUCACACUGGAACUGAGACACGGUCCAGACUCCUACGGGAGGCAGCAGUGGGGAAUAUUGCACAAUGGACGAAAGUCUGAUGCAGCAACGCCGCGUGGAGGAUGACACAUUUCGGUGCGUAAACUCCUUUUAUAUGAGAAGAUGAUGACGGUAUUAUAUGAAUAAGCACCGGCUAACUCCGUGCCAGCCGCCGCCGUAA